UAGGCUAUUCACAGAUGUAUGGGAAAAGAGCUCUGUGAGGCACAGAUUUGAGAAGAACUAUGUGGUUCCAUUCUCCAGGAAAUCAAGUUGUUGGCAGAUUUCCCAUUUCCCUUCAAGAACAUCCCAGGAUAAACCAGCUAACAGAUGAAACUGGUGGAGAGAGGACAAAAAAAAUGUGUUUCUGCUUUUAGCUAUGGUCUUUUGAGUGGCUCUGCUUUCUGACUUGAAGCACUGCUGAUUGCAAGAGCAGGAGGGAGGGAAAUGUGCAAAAUGAAAUGGAUUGACAAAGCAGGAUGAAUUAAAGCAAGGAUCACAGACAUGGGGGAGUGCUAGAGGGCAACACAAAGGACAUCGCAAAAUACUCCCUGCAUCAGUUGGUCCAGACAUUCCUGCAGGAUAAAGAGUGAACAAUAAAAGUUUGAAUUAUCCACAACAAUGCAAUUGGAGUGUGAGUCUGGAUGCCUGGAAUACAAAACAGUAAAGCCAGAAGCAAAAGAAAACUUCUUGGUUUUGGGACUGAUAGGAACAAUUACAUGUGGAGAUGAAUCUGUUCACUCCAGGUCAUUCCAAUAAGAUACUGAGUGUCCAAGUCAUUACAAUGAAAUGUAAAUUGACUUCAGCUUUUUCAUUACAUUAAUUGUUGUAGCACCUUGCUACUGAUAAACUUCCUCGUACUCUCCUGCAGAGAGAUGGAAACACUUGCAAGAGCAGAGCACACAAUGAGCCCAGUUUAAGGCAACAUCUGGAAAAUGUUUAUUUCAUAAGUUAUUUCUGCUGCUAAUUAAACAAGUUAACCUAAAACCAGAAGCUUGCAGAAUAUUAGUGUGCUAAUGAGUCCUGGGGAAGGGCAACAGCACCACACUUGUGACAUGAAGCAAAUGUAAGAUAAUAAGGGACUGCCAAGAGAAAUGAAGCUUCAAAAAUUAGUCAUGAAAGAGUCUUUAAACUUAUACCAGAGAGUCAUAGAAGAGAAGAAAAAAAAAUCUGAAUUUUGGAAGAAAAUGGAAGAGAAGACCAAUUACUGCUUGAAGAAAAAGGAAGGAGAGAAAUUGUUUGGAGUGAGGUUCAGGCAAACAAAUUUAGCAGCAGACUCAAAUAGACUGGCAUCUCAGGAGAAGAGUGGUCCGUCUCCAUGACACCUUGAAAUAUUCAGUUACCAUAGUACCCACAAUUUUAUAAGGAUGGUCAUUCCAAACAGUUUAGCAAGUGAUUGAAGGAACUAAUCCAGAGUGUGUUUAAAUGUCUCAGUGUCCUAUUGUUCCAGGUAACAGCAAGUUUUUACAUGAUAACAAGGGCUUUGUUUAAAUUCUUGGUCUGUUGCUGUUUCUAUCCAUUUCCAUUUGUAGCAUCUUGCAUGGAAAAAAAUAAAAGAAUUGACUACAAGAUGAAAAAAGACAAGCAAUAAGUCCUUUUUGAGGCUUUUUGUAAGUACAUUUUUUAUAGCACAUGAGCCCAUAAAACCAAAAUAAUUCUUUGUUUUUCUGUUAAAUUCUGCCAAAAUAUUUCAAAGGUUCUGUCUGACUAAUCGUUUAAAGACAGCUCUGAGCAAACUGAGUGCAUCUCUCAGACAAUUAGGGGCUAUAUAUAUUUUCAAAGCUUCCUAUCCUAUUUGGAGCUAUUAAUUUUCAAAUCCAAUAAGAAGUAUUUACUUAAUUCAUUGUUAUCUGCUUUAUACUUUUUUGCUUCAAUCCCUAGAGUAAUAUCUUGCAAAAGGACAAACCAUUUGAUGCAGAAGAUUAUGGGAUAUCCUUCAGAGAGAUGAUUACAAGUAGAGAACUGUAUGACUUCACAAAGUGGGAUCCUGCAGAUUUGCAGAAAAAGGGCAAAGAAUAGGAAGAAAGAUUCAAUAAAAUAUUCUGAAUGGUUGAAAGUGUUAUUGGAAGUAGUGAAGUAGUCACUUGGCAUCCAUACUUAAGAAGCAUGAUGAAAGAUUAAAGUCGUUGGAGAAAAUGCACUGAUAGAUAGUAUACUGGCUUAAAGAAAAUCUUUACAGUAAAAGUUAUAAAAAGCUUUAUAUUUUUACAUUAUCAAAGAGAAAGUAAAAUAAAGUCUCAAAUGUUUUAAAUUAGUAACUCUACAGAUAUCUCAACAAUGGGUAAAAAAUUUAAGAGAUGCUAUCUGGAGAAAAUUAAACUGAGUUGGUGGAAAUUUAACUGAGAGAGAUUCAAAUUUUAUGGCAAGAUACCUAUUUUUGAUCAUGCAGGUUGGUAAUUGUUGCAACAUCUGCCAAAGGAAAUUUCAAAUUCUUUACCUUUUGAUAGCUCCAAGUUAAUGUGGAUGUAAUUUUUUGGCAUUGUGUUUUGCCUCACAGAAGUUAAAGGGGUCAGCUUCUAUACCAUCUGAAGAAUGAGAUUGUAAAUGUGCUACUGCACUUUCAAUUUCUGUUAAAUAUUAAAGGCCUUGAAUUAGAUUGUGGAGUCCUGUCAUAUCUAUGGACAUUAUUACUGCCCUUGGUCUUACAAAAGCUUACACAAUUCCUUUAUUUUAUAUGUUUUGCAAUUAAUUAAUGUACUCACAAUAUAGCAGAGAUUAAGAGACACUCAUGGAAUGUCUCAAACAAUGGUUACAUGAACUAAUGACCAAUUUACUUUUCUUAGUUUAGUGCUGGAAAAGUAAGGCUGGAGUUUUCAGCCUAGUGAUCUCUGAAGGGAAAGAGCUGGGGCUGCAUCACAAAGUUAGUUGCAAAUGUUUGUUAAACUAAGCUGGUAAGAGUGAAAUUGAGUCAAGCUUUACUGAGAGUUUAGACGAGUGCUCAUUUCCACAUAAUAUCAAAGAUAUCUGAUUUCCUCUCAUGUUAACAUGCACAGAAAAAGUCAAUGCCAACAUUUUUUCUGAUGCUGCCUUGCAAAAACUACAAGCCGUAUUUUUUAAUUGUUUUUUUCAAUUCUGCCAAAGCAUCUAUCAAGUUAGGAGAAAAUUUGCUUUGCUGCACAAGUUAAAAUUUCACUUCAGUGUUUAAAUACACUGUUUUAGUCUAAUUUAACCAAUGAAUAUAUUAAUAAUUUGUGUUUAAAAGACAAAAAAGACAAGAAAAUACUGUAACUUACAACAAUAACUUUUGGUUUAAACAUUAUAGAAAUAGUAAAGGGCUUUAUUAUUCAAGGAUGGGGUGCUGAGCUCUGCAACUAAGUAUUCAGCUUCUGCUUGGAUAGAUUGAAGGGCACAUUAACAAAGACAAUUUGUACUGGCAAGUGUAAGUUUAAUUUCAUUCUAUUUUAAAGCAAAAUAAUUUUAUAUAAGCUCAUAGUAUUAUACCAUCCAUGCAUAAAACUUAGAGAACUAAUUAUGCAGAAAGUUCAAUUCCUAUUUUAGAGCUCUUGGACUGUCUAACCUAAACUAUGCUUCUUGCAUGCAACAAAGUCCUGAUCAAGCAUGUACAAAUGUAUUGGUAUGCCUCUUACACAUGAGAAAUAUAAAAUGUGUUCUUUUUGUUAUAAACUAUUCAAAACCUAAUUCAAAUAUUACACAGAAAAUAAAACAGGCUUUCUCAUUUGCAAUUACUGGGUAUGAAAAUAGAGAAAAGUGACCAAAAAAUUAUUUCAGUCGACCUCAAAUUGUCAAAAUCAUAAACACAAUUGAAAUAGAAAAUCAAGACACACAUUCAGAAUUUCAGAGUACCUGGCAGUUGAGUCAAGUCUGUAUCUGGCUUUUGGGACAGAUGAAACAAACUUAUGGGCUUUCUCAUGUUUUUCCAAGUAAAAAUAGUUCCUUAAGGGAUACUCUCUCAAACUGGAAUUUCAGCAACACAGGAACUCUUAAGCACACAAAUGGACUCCUUAUAAAAACCCAUACUAAACCUGCUCUUAAUGGCUAAGGCAAGUUGUCAGGUGUGUACUGCUGGCCUGUGAGGGUUUCCUCACAUAUUGGGAGUACCCAGUUGUCUGUUCUGGAAAGCAAAUAUAGCAUGCAUGAUGCAUGCACAGCCAGAGCCAGGAACUUAAGUCUGUUCUUUACACUAUGAGCAUCUAGUGUGUUAAAGUGCCUUGAAAUUAUAGCAAUCUUAGAACCCCUUUGUCCUCGUACAACGAAACACAAAAAAAACAUGACCAUUAUUCCAGAAGCCUAAAUUUAAUAGAUUCCAGUUUCUCUUUAUGAGGGGUUUUCAGACCUGAUAAUUUCACAGACAUCAGCGAGUUUGACUGCUAACUACCUGAAAGAGGAGUGAGUGACUAGUGGUAUAAGCUGGAUAGCAAUUAGAGAGGGCUGGCAGAUGGCAGCUGAGCACAGGACUGGCAGUAGAAAACCACAGAGCAGACAGCAGUGCUUACAGUGAUGACAGAUUGCCUGACUGGAAGAAAAGCUUGAAUUCUCUUGUGUUAUUUUCCCCAGUGUUUUAAUGGUGGACACAGAAGUUCACAUUUAGCUUUACAUCCAUCUUUUGGAAAGAUAAUCUAAACUGAACAUUAAACAUACAGUAUCUUUAUAUACCCUUUUCUGUUGUCACAAAGCCCCUUUAUCCUAUGACUGUGGUUAUUAACAAAGUUCUACAAUGUCUCAAAGACAAGUUCUACCACUGUGGUACUUUUAAAAAUAAUAAGCCAAUUAAAAUACACAAAAGAAAAUAGUACAUAAACUUACAUAUUCUCAAAAAGUGCAAUUCAUUAAAAAAUCAUAUUUUUUUCACCAUUUGACUUCUUAAUCCAGAUAAUCUUAAAUCAGACCUCGGCUCCAUUCUUCCCAGUUCUUUGAAAUGUACAUUUAUCCCUAGUGUCACUUGUAUAGACUGAAAAAAGAGACUCCAAACCUUCUCAUAGUUAGAUCACCUUUGUCCAGUGGACUUUAUUAGCAUUACAGCACUUUUCAGUGUUUCCCAUUUGAAAAGGAAAAUGUUAGUUGCACUGUUAACCAUCCUUCUAUUUAUUUUAAAAUAAAUCAAUUCAUGCUCUCUCUAAUCUUAUUCAUUCUUGAGUGAUGAAAGUCUCAAAAUGACCUUUGCUGUUUCAAAAAUCAAGUGAAAAAUAGCAGCAGCUAGGAUAGUUCAAUGAAUAUUGGACUAAGAGUCUGACAGUGCCAUCACAUUUGAUUUGCCUUUAUCAGAAUUCAGGGGCUAUCAGAAAUUCUUUAGCACUCCUCUCAGAAAAAUAGUUUUACAUUCCACAUUCAGGUCCAUUUUCACACUCCAAAAUUUUAAAUGUUAAAUCUCUUAUUUUAUUAUUUUUUUUUAGUUCUCAAUUCUAUGGAAUAGCUAAUUUACAAAAACUUUUCUAACAAUGUUCUUGUCAAACUUGUAGAUAGUACAAGUCAUGAUUGCUGCUUUAACUUAUUAUGCUCUCUCCUUCCUAUAAUAUAUUAUUUUCCCUGUGAUCCUGCUAGGUUUUGUAUCACCUUGAUGCUAAAGAUCCUUGAAUUAGAAUACAAAUGUGUCAUUUGUUUCUCUUUGACUUUCUUAAAUACCUUGCCAGUUGGAAACAGAUUUUCACUAAUUAUAUUGCCCUAGCAGAUGCUACUGCCAUCAAUAUUGCAAACCUUUCCUGUCCAUUCUGCCCAUUUAUGCCACUUUACCCCAUGCUAUGUCUUUCCUAAAUGGACACAUCCUUCCCUAUAAAAUAAAUUGUGAAAACAAGAAAAAAUAAUAUUUUAAAAUUUCUGAUUGAUAGCUACUGAG
This is a long non-coding RNA of Parus major (Great Tit), 5605 nucleotides long. RefSeq lists it as uncharacterized. The record is from RefSeq and is a predicted model, not a curated record. The transcript is spliced from 7 exons. Lineage: Eukaryota; Metazoa; Chordata; Aves; Passeriformes; Paridae.